GAUGAACGCUGGCGGCGUACCUAAUACAUGCAAGUCGAACGCUUUGUGGUUCAACUGAUUUGAAGAGCUUGCUCAGAUAUGACGAUGGACAUUGCAAAGAGUGGCGAACGGGUGAGUAACACGUGGGAAACCUACCUCUUAGCAGGGGAUAACAUUUGGAAACAGAUGCUAAUACCGUAUAACAAUGACAACCGCAUGGUUGUUAUUUAAAAGAUGGUUCUGCUAUCACUAAGAGAUGGUCCCGCGGUGCAUUAGCUAGUUGGUAAGGUAAUGGCUUACCAAGGCGAUGAUGCAUAGCCGAGUUGAGAGACUGAUCGGCCACAAUGGGACUGAGACACGGCCCAUACUCCUACGGGAGGCAGCAGUAGGGAAUCUUCCACAAUGGGCGAAAGCCUGACGGAGCAACGCCGCGUGUGUGAUGAAGGGUUUCGGCUCGUAAAACACUGUUGUAAAAGAAGAAUGACAUUGAGAGUAACUGUUCAAUGUGUGACGGUAUCUUACCAGAAAGGAACGGCUAAAUACGUGCCAGCAGCCGCGGUAAUACGUAUGUUCCAAGCGUUAUCCGGAUUUAUUGGGCGUAAAGCGAGCGCAGACGGUUAUUUAAGUCUGAAGUGAAAGCCCUCAGCUCAACUGAGGAAUUGCUUUGGAAACUGGAUGACUUGAGUGCAGUAGAGGAAAGUGGAACUCCAUGUGUAGCGGUGAAAUGCGUAGAUAUAUGGAAGAACACCAGUGGCGAAGGCGGCUUUCUGGACUGUAACUGACGUUGAGGCUCGAAAGUGUGGGUAGCAAACAGGAUUAGAUACCCUGGUAGUCCACACCGUAAACGAUGAGUGCUAGGUGUUUGAGGGUUUCCGCCCUUAAGUGCCGCAGCUAACGCAUUAAGCACUCCGCCUGGGGAGUACGACCGCAAGGUUGAAACUCAAAGGAAUUGACGGGGACCCGCACAAGCGGUGGAGCAUGUGGUUUAAUUCGAAGCAACGCGAAGAACCUUACCAGGUCUUGACAUCCCUUGACAACUCCAGAGAUGGAGUGUUCCCUUCGGGGACAAGGUGACAGGUGGUGCAUGGUUGUCGUCAGCUCGUGUCGUGAGAUGUUGGGUUAAGUCCCGCAACGAGCGCAACCCUUAUUACUAGUUGCCAGCAUUCAGUUGGGCACUCUAGUGAGACUGCCGGUGACAAACCGGAGGAAGGUGGGGAUGACGUCAAAUCAUCAUGCCCCUUAUGACCUGGGCUACACACGUGCUACAAUGGCGUAUACAACGAGUUGCCAACCCGCGAGGGUGAGCUAAUCUCUUAAAGUACGUCUCAGUUCGGAUUGUAGGCUGCAAACUCGCCUACAUGAAAGUCGGAAUCGCUAGUAAUCGCGGAUCAGCACGCCGCGGUGAAUACGUUCCCGGGUUC
Molecule: ribosomal RNA, 1400 nt
Filed under: uncultured bacterium
Lineage: Bacteria
Description: bacterial SSU rRNA
Rfam family: Bacterial small subunit ribosomal RNA
Source: RNAcentral